Astatotilapia calliptera (eastern happy) is the source of this 1714-nucleotide long non-coding RNA. The record is from Ensembl. NCBI's taxonomy places the organism in Eukaryota, Metazoa, Chordata, Actinopteri, Cichliformes, Cichlidae.
AAGACACACAGGCAGGUUUCAUUUCUAACUAGUCACGAUGCCAGAGAGCGAUAGACCUCAACACACUUGGAUACCUCGAGUAAUAAGGUGUAUCUCUGUGAUUUUCUUCAUCCUGUUUAAUGUUCAAGCGAUAGUUGGAUGUGUGUACUUUAAUGACUGUCCAAGGGCGCCCUCCAUUCCCGUCAUUCUGGUUUUUUGUGGAUUCAUACCUGUCUUGUGGGGAUUGAGCCGGUUUUUGAACAGGUGCAAUAUUUUCUUCGACUGUCUGUUCUUCAUCCUCGAUUUUGCCAUAUUCAUCAUCGGUAGCAUAAUCGUCUACUCCAUCUAUGAACCCGACUACAACAAGAACGCUACAGAAACCGAUCACUACUGCAACAAGACGCUCUACCUGUCUGCAUUUUGUUGCAUCACCCUGACCUACGUCCUGACAGGUGUUUAUGUUUUCACUUAUUUUUUUGCUCUCUGCACCAACCAGAUGGUUUACGAUGAUGAGGAUCGGCCACUGCUGUGGAGCUAAUCAUAUGAAUGUGUGUACGUUUGUGUGUUCCCCAACUCCUCUUAGACCAGUGGACCAAUACUGAUGAAACAGAUUAAAAUGGUUUCACAAUAAUAUAUAUCAUAUCAAAUAUAUCAAACUAUAAUGGACAUAUACUAAUAAUAAUAAUGAUGCUGGCUGUAAUAAAAUCACAAGCAAACAACAAACCAAAUAUUAUACAAAUAUUUUCAUGUGUGCUUAUAUACAGAACAUAAUACAUUUAAUGUUGGUUAAUACAGCAACAUGCAGUUUUUGAUCUUUUGUUAGAGAAAUCUUACUAUUAACAAGUCAUACAGAUGACUCAUCAUAGCAGAAUAAAUGAUCAUGAUCUUCCCUGUUUAACAAACGAAUAUAUUUUGUUUUAUUAAAUGUGUGAUUUUAUUUAUUUUCCAAUAUCCAUGCUGUUUCUUUCUUCUUCUUCUUCUUUUUAAUUGUAAGUAAAUAAAUAAAUAAAAUGGGUUAGGACAACAGGACAACCUGUUGUUGAUUGGUUCUUGUUGUUUUGAGACAGCAGCUUUGAUCAUUGAUGUGUGGUGUAGAUUUAAGCUGCUUCAAACUUCUCUUGUACCUCCGCUAGUUUGUAAGUUAACACCAGAGCACUAUUACAUUACAAACACCCCUUUUUUAUUUUAUUUUAUUUUAUUUUAUUUUAUUUUAUUUUUGCUUUGCUCUAUGCUCUAUGAGAAAACACACUUCUACCCUGUGGGGCAAGGAAUCGCCUGCAGUAAUAUUUGAGGCCACUAGAUGUCCCCCUAAUGCCUCUACAUCAUGCAGUAAAUAAUUGUUAUGACUGAAUCUCGAAUAACAAAUUUUCUCAACAUUAUUCAUUUUCUUUGCAUUAUUAAUAUAUAUCCUAUUUUGCCUUUUGACAUGAUUUUUUUUCUACACUCAACCAUCAGUGAAAUUAAAUUAUUAAAAAUAAAAGAGAGUGGUGUUGGAACUGAGAACAGGGCGUGUAUUUCACAAGAAGCAGAAAGACCUCGUCCGGCACAGGAAGUGCACUUAUACUCUGUCUACAACAAUGUUUAUGCGAAUACGAGGGGAGGCUGAUGGAAACCUCUUCUGGGAGUAAAACUGUCAGUUAGAAAAGAAGAACCAUGGCCUACUCUCAUAAGAUUCUGGGGUUUUCUUCAACAGAGGUGUUUACGUUUGUGCUCUGAUCUGUGAACACAAAAGAGA